GGAGGAAUAUUGGUCAAUGGGCGGGAGCCUGAACCAGCCAAGCCGCGUGAGGGAGGAAGGCCCUAUGGGUCGUAAACCUCUUUUGUCAGGGAACAAAAGCGAGUAUGUAUACUAGUCUGAGUGUACCUGAAGAAAAAGCAUCGGCUAACUCCGUGCCAGCAGCCGCGGUAAUACGGAGGAUGCGAGCGUUAUCCGGAUUUAUUGGGUUUAAAGGGUGCGUAGGCGGCGGUGCAAGUCAGCGGUAAAAGCCCGGGGCUCAACCCCGGCGAGCCGUUGAAACUGCAGUGCUAGAGAAGGCGAGAGGUACGCGGAAUGCGCAGUGUAGCGGUGAAAUGCUUAGAUAUUGCGCAGAACUCCGAUUGCGAAGGCAGCGUACUGGCGCCUGACUGACGCUGAGGCACGAAAGCGUGGGGAUCGAACAGGAUUAGAUACCC
This 434-nucleotide ribosomal RNA is filed under the name uncultured bacterium. RNAcentral's name for it is "bacterial SSU rRNA". It matches the Rfam family "Bacterial small subunit ribosomal RNA", at positions 355 to 787 of the family's 1533-position model. The record is from RNAcentral.